AGUGAACGCUGGCGGUAGGCCUAACACAUGCGAGUCGAACGGCAGCACAGUAAGAGCUUGCUCUUACGGGUGGCGAGUGGCGGACGGGUGAGGAAUACAUCGGAAUCUACUUUUUCGUGGGGGAUAACGUAGGGAAACUUACGCUAAUACCGCAUACGACCUACGGGUGAAAGCAGGGGAUCUUCGGACCUUGCGCGAUUGAAUGAGCCGAUGUCGGAUUAGCUAGUUGGCGGGGUAAAGGCCCACCAAGGCGACGAUCCGUAGCUGGUCUGAGAGGAUGAGCAGCCACACUGGAACUGAGACACGGUCCAGACUCCUACGGGAGGCAGCAGUGGGGAAUAUUGGACAAUGGGCGCAAGCCUGAUCCAGCCAUACCGCGUGGGUGAAGAAGGCCUUCGGGUUGUAAAGCCCUUUUGUUGGGAAAGAAAAGCAGCAGGUUAAUACCCCGCUGUUCUGACGGUACCCAAAGAAUAAGCACCGGCUAACUUCGUG
This 492-nucleotide ribosomal RNA is filed under the name uncultured bacterium. RNAcentral describes it as "partial 16S ribosomal RNA". It matches the Rfam family "Bacterial small subunit ribosomal RNA", at positions 29 to 507 of the family's 1533-position model. The record is from RNAcentral.